GAACUGUGCGAACGUUAUUCGGAAUCACUGGGCUUACAGGGUGCGUAGGCGGCUUGUUAAGUAGGGUGUGAAAUCCCCCGGCCCAACCGGGGGAUUGCGCUCUAAACUAGCAGGCUUGAGUGAGCUAGGGGUGCACGGAACUUCCAGUGGAGCGGUGAAAUGUGUUGAUAUUGGAAGGAACACCGGAGGCGAAAGCGGUGCACUGGGGCUUAACUGACGCUGAGGCACGAAAGCCAGGGGAGCGAACGGGAUUAGAUACCCCGGUAGUCCUGGCCGUAAACGAUGAACACUGGGCGGGAGAAGGUUCGCCUUUUCCGGCCGUAGCGAAAGCGUUAAGUGUUCCGCCUGGGGAGUAUGGUCGCAAGGCUG
This 369-nucleotide ribosomal RNA is filed under the name uncultured bacterium. Its description in RNAcentral is "bacterial SSU rRNA". It matches the Rfam family "Bacterial small subunit ribosomal RNA", at positions 527 to 896 of the family's 1533-position model. The record is from RNAcentral.